UGGGGAAUAUUGGACAAUGGGCGAAAGCCUGAUCCAGCCAUGCCGCGUGUGUGAAGAAGGUCUUCGGAUUGUAAAGCACUUUAAGUUGGGAGGAAGGGCAUUAACCUAAUACGUUAGUGUUUUGACGUUACCGACAGAAUAAGCACCGGCUAACUCUGUGCCAGCAGCCGCGGUAAUACAGAGGGUGCAAGCGUUAAUCGGAAUUACUGGGCGUAAAGCGCGCGUAGGUGGUUUGUUAAGUUGGAUGUGAAAGCCCGGGCUCAACCUGGGAACUGCAUUCAAAACUGACUGACUAGAGUAUGGUAGAGGGUGGUGGAAUUUCCUGUGUAGCGGUGAAAUGCGUAGAUAUAGGAAGGAACACCAGUGGCGAAGGCGACCACCUGGACUAAUACUGACACUGAGGUGCGAAAGCGUGGGGAGCAAACA
Molecule: ribosomal RNA, 426 nt
Filed under: uncultured bacterium
Lineage: Bacteria
Description: partial 16S ribosomal RNA
Rfam family: Bacterial small subunit ribosomal RNA
Source: RNAcentral